This 3501-nucleotide long non-coding RNA is filed under the name Homo sapiens (human). Its description in RNAcentral is "HSALNT0242103". The record is from RNAcentral. Lineage: Eukaryota; Metazoa; Chordata; Mammalia; Primates; Hominidae.
CCAAAAAAUCGGCCAGAAGCCCCUCUCAGGUUUAUUCUCCAAAAUAAACCUUUGACUGUUGAGCCACUUUUUGUGUUUCUUUCCUCUUUCUUUAACUCUUACAUUUGGUGCUGAAAGCCAGGAUGGGUGUUGGGGAUAGAGGCUCUCUUGCAACCAAGGAAGCAGUGGACAGCAGCUGCUCAUCCCACUGGAUCCUGAGAGUCUCUGGCCACCCAUCCCAUCUUGUCUCUCACUUUACUUUUUGAGCAAUUUGCAUGAGGAGGACAACUAACCUGAAAGGGCCUGCAAGGCUCGGGCUGGGGCUACUCUCCAGUGAGCCCUCAAAACCCUCAGGUCUCAGGAAUCCACCUCUGACUGCCUGCAAUGGGUAUCAGGUAUUUCGCUUUCUCCCCUCCUCCUCCCUCAUCCUCCUCUCUAUCUCUCUCUCUCUCUCUCUGUCUCUCUCUUUCUCUCCCCACCACCCCACUUCUUGUGGCUCCAGUCCAAGAGGCCCUUUGCCAAUUCCAGCUGGAACAUCCAACAUCAGACACUAAUCCAGCUAACUGGAAUCAAACCUGACUUAUGAAGCCAAGAAAGCUCUUGGGAAAUUGGCCUCACGUUUUGUGUACACAGUCCCUGUACAGGGUUUCUGAUCUGUGGAUCAUGGCCAUUUCACAGACAACUACCCAAAAACAUCUACAGACGACAUUACUCCUACAGUCAAUCUGAGACCAGAAAACUCUCUGUCCUCCCAUCAGCAGGAAGUAGCUAGAAAGAACAUGCCACCUCUCUUCCUUUUUAUAACUAUAGGGUCUGGAUUGACAGAGCAGGAGCAUCACCAUCUUGGACAAGCACCACCAUUUUUAAGUUCACCUUGAUCAAAAGCCGCCUAAAUCCAAAGGGCAUCAGCCUAAUGGCUAAGGUCAGCAUGACCAUAAACCACAAAUGACAUCUCCGACCAGAAACAUUCCAACCAUAAGAUAAAUCCCUCCCCGACCAGAGACAUGCCAGCCCUGAGAUAACCUCUCCUCCGACCAGAGACACUCCAACCCGCAAUAAAUUUCUCCCCCACACACAGAAACAUUCCAAGCCUGUGAUAAGCUUUCUCACCCUAAAACCAAUACUCUUAGUCUGUAAGAGAGAGCACUCCUGACAGAAAUUGGCCAGAAGCCCCUCUCAGGUUUAUUCUCCAAAAUAAACCUGACUUUAACUGUUGAGCCAUUUUUCGUGUUUCUUUCCUCUUUCUUUAAUUCUUACACUGAGGACUAAAGAAGAGAUGGCUGUCCAAGUCCACCUGGAGCCCUGAUAGCUGUCCAGCCUGUGUGCAUCACACUGCAGGCCCUGUCUGGGGUCAGUCUGAGGAUAGCUUCCCCCAAUGGUGACCCCAGGCUUUUUCACUGUGGUGGGUCCAUUUUACUACUGUUACAGGACUUCCUCUUCUCCCUGGCUGUGGACCCAUUUCCAGCUAUCACCUUUGACAAAUUGGCAAAUUCUUAAGUAACCUGAAUCUCCUCUGUAUUUGGUCAUUCCAGCUACUCCCAGUGCCCAGUAUACCCACCUCUGGCACUGGUCUUGCGGGGCCAAAGGACAAACUCUUUUUACCUUUCACCAUCAAGCCCCUGUCUACUCGUCCCUUAUGGGAGAAGCUUCAAGUGGUCCACAUGGGACCAGAUUCAGCCAACAGAUUCUAGUGCCAUAACUGAGUUUUCUGAAAGUUGUUCCUGAAAGACUGAUUAAGCUACCUUUGCAUCUUGGCCCAGUUAAAACAGCAAUUCCUACCAAGAGGAGUGCUCAGGUAAGAAGAAAGUAGAACAAUUUGAGCCACCCCAAAAAGGUGGUGAUGCCAGUUAGCAACUGCUUGACUCUAGAGAAAUGAGACCAUGUCUUAUUCCUUGCUCUGCUCCCAGAGCCUUGCGCAGGCCUGGCUCAGAGUAGGCACCAUUCAUUGACUGAAUGAACUAUUCCCAUGAGUGCUGGGAGUGUUUUCCCACCCAAAUGAUCAGUAACCCUUCCUCUUCUUCAAAUUCAGCCUUUGCUGUUGCUCAAUAAAUGUAUGUUGAAAGGAAAAAGAUGAGGGGUCAGCUCUUCAGAGGACUGAAGAAGUGAGAACAAAAUAUCCAGGCUUGUCAUAAUCUCAAGGAAAAAGCAAGUGGUGUCACUUGCUCAAGGAUGAGGAUUAAGCAAUAGGUGUGUGGAGUUGGGUCCUCAAUCGUGGGGAAGGUUCUAAACAGAUUGCCCUAGGAUCUCAGUGAGGCGUGAAGCUUAUUCAAGUUCUCACCUGCUAUUUUCCCUGUCUUCAAAACACUCCUCUAGGCUGGGCACAGUGGCUCACACCCGUAUUCCCAGCACUUUGGGAAGCCGAGGUGGAUGGAUCACUUGAACCCAGGAAUUUGAGACCAGCCUGGCCGACAUGGAGAAACCCUGUCUCUACUAAAAAUACAAAAAAAAAUUAGCCAGGCAUGGUGGUGCAUGCCUGUAGUCCCAGCUACUCAGGAGGCUGAGGAAGGAGAAUCUCUUGAACUCAGGAGGCAGAGAUUGCAGUGAGCCAAGAUCACACCUCUGCACUCCAGCCUGGGCAAUAGGGCAAGACUGUUUCACACAUACACACACACACACACACACACACACACACACACAGACACACACACACACACACAAAAGACUCCUCCACUCACCUGUGCUUCUUUUCUCUUUUACCCUUCCGCCUCUGGUUAAAUGUUAGUUCCUCAAGGAGACCUUUCCUAGCCACCAGACUAGGUCAGAGUCCUCUUUUCGUGCCCUGACAGCCAGCAUCCAGUACCUUCCAGUCACAACGCUGAUCAGAGUUUGUAACUGCAUAUUACUCUGUGUAUGUUUGUUUGCUGUCUGUUUCCCCUGUUCCCUGAAAGGCAGUGCCACUCCUGUUUUGCUCUCCAUUGUAUCCCCAGCACAGGGGCUGGCUCAUAGUUGAUAUUCAAAAACCAUCUGAUGGAGAAAGGAAUGAAUGAAUUGUAUUCUAUCAUUUAAUGCUCAGAACAAUCUUGGGUCUUCAGUGUUGUAUUUGUCUCCCUUUCACAUGAGGAAAGUGAAAAUUAGAACUCUAGGGGGACACAGAGGGGACUGGAAUCAGUUCUACUGGAUCAACAGCCCACAUCUGCCCUGCUGCCUGGGUGAAGCGGAGGGUCCAGGUUAGUGAGAAUGGGAGAGAUGCAGGGGAGACAGGAAGACAGUCAGGAAGGGCCAGGGCCAAGUCCGGAACAGUGAGGAAGGGAAAGAAGUCCAGGAUGCUGCCCAGCUGACUUCAGCCUGACCCUGGGAGUCAAGAAGGAUGGGUGAAUGGGUGUAUGUCAUUGACGUGGAGCAGGGCAAAGGGGGUGCAGACUCGACGGGCUGUGGAUUUCUUCUCAAUUAUCUUCUGAAUUAUCUUGAUGUCUUCAAGAGGCAGUGCAAUCCUAGUUAAAAGAUGAAUUCCAGAGGCUGGCUCUGCUUCUGCUCUCAACCUGCUGUGUGAACUUAAACAAGUGAUUAAACAUCUCUGUGCCU